UUUUUGCGGAUACAGACUAACACGGCUGCUACUUUGAAAUCUGAUUUUUCUGAAUGCUGCCAGGGAGCAUUCCACAUACCAGACAGAGGUCCCCGAAACCCAUUUUGGGAAGCCCUCAGGGACUUAUGAAAAGACUCUAAGAGACUGGCAAAUUACCAGUACUACAUCUCUGCUAUCAUUUUAAACUUACAAACUUUAACUCACUUGUUAUAUAUUUUAUUUGCUUUAACCUUUUAAUAACUCUCAUUUCUUUUCUUAGCUAAUACAUCUUUAAUUUAAUUUACUAAAGAAAUUGGCUAUAGCAGGUCUUUGGUGUGAAAUCCAGAAGCAACCAGUGACCCGGGGUGAGUGACCGAUCCUUUGGGAUUGGAAGAACCUAAUUGUAUGCACAAACAGCAUGAAUCCCACUCCUGGUGCACUGGCAGAAGGAGAGGUUUGGGUUCAGCUUAAACUCUUCCAGGCUUGGAGGGGGAACACAGCCUGACUGCAACGUGAACACAAAGAUGUGAGGUAUGAGCAGACUGUGAUAUGAGAUUGCUGCUACCCUGUUCAAGUGAUUGAUGGAGACAAAAUCCUGGAGGCUUUGGAGUAGAGGAGCAGCAUGGACUCUCAUGACAGAGACACCCUCCCAGGGGUCUGGGAUGUUUGAAGAGAAGGAGAACAAUGUUUCCUGACUAAGAAACCAUUUGGAUGCUGUCCUGGUGAGAAAAUUUCAGGGACAUUUUUGCUGCUACUGACCCCACAGAAAAAAAGAAAAAGCUGAUAUCUACAAUGAGGUUUAAUUAAGUAAAGAAUAGGUUGAGUCUAAUUCCCUGUGGAAAUGAUAGAACAGAGGAAGGACUGCCUGGCCACGAGACUGAGAGCCAGGUGCCAGCAUUGCCAGAGCAGCACCAGCAGGAACCGGUAGAAAGUAGCCCAGGGAAACAAGACUUUGGUCUGGUUGUGC
Molecule: long non-coding RNA, 946 nt
Organism: Terrapene triunguis (Three-toed box turtle)
Lineage: Eukaryota; Metazoa; Chordata; Testudines; Emydidae
Exons: 4
Source: RefSeq, a predicted model, not a curated record